CGUUCUUCGGGACUUUAUCCCGUCGGGGU
RNAcentral lists this small RNA (29 nucleotides) under Bombyx mori (domestic silkworm). Its description in RNAcentral is "ovarian small RNA-14594". Lineage: Eukaryota; Metazoa; Arthropoda; Insecta; Lepidoptera; Bombycidae. The record is from RNAcentral.